This 439-nucleotide ribosomal RNA is filed under the name uncultured bacterium. Its description in RNAcentral is "partial 16S ribosomal RNA". It matches the Rfam family "Bacterial small subunit ribosomal RNA", at positions 338 to 795 of the family's 1533-position model. The record is from RNAcentral.
CCUACGGGAGGCAGCAGUGGGGAAUAUUGGACAAUGGGGGAAACCCUGAAGCAGCGACGCCGCGUGAGUGAAGAAGUAUCUCGGUAUGUUAAGCUCUAUCAGCAGGGAAGAAAAUUACGGUACCUGAUUAAGAAGCCCCGGCUAACUACGUGCCAGCAGCCGCGGUAAUACGGAGGGGGCAAGCGUUAUCCGGAUUCAUUGGGCUUAAAGGGGGCGUAGGCGGGCGUUCAAGUCAGCUGUAAAAUCGCGCGGCUCAACCGCGCCCCGCAGUUGAAACUGGACGCCUUGAGUUCACAACAGGCAGGCGGAAUUCGUGGUGUAGCGGUGAAAUGCAUAGAUAUCACGAAGAACCCCGAUUGCGAAGGCAGCCUGCCGGGGCGCGACUGACGCUGAGGCUCGAAGGUGCGGGUAUCAAACAGGAUUAGAUACCCGAGUAGUC